AAGAUUCUUGUCUAUGAAUUUGUCAGCAACAAAAGCCUUGACUGCUUUCUAUUUGGUAUAUAUUGAUAAUUUUCUAAUGUUCUUCUCAUUGCCUUUUAGUACGAGAAAUGCAUAUUUGCCUCUAGGAAUAUACUCGAUUCUUCGUAAUCAGGCACAUUUGUCUUUGAGACAGUUGAUCUGCACUCUGACUUGAAGGUUCUGUUUUCUUGAUUUUACAGACCCUGAAAGGCAAGGACUGUUGGACUGGUCAAGACGGUACAAAAUAAUAGGAGGCAUUGCUCGAGGAAUUCUUUAUCUUCACGAGGACUCGCGGCUACGAAUUAUACAUCGUGACCUCAAAGCCAGCAAUAUUCUGCUAGAUGGAGAUAUGAACCCCAAAAUCUCAGAUUUUGGCUUGGCUAGGAUUUUCGUAGUCGAUCAAACUCAAGCAAGUACCAAUAGAAUUGUUGGAACAUAGUAAGUUUGGAUCUAAUUCCCAUUGAUUAGUAAAUUCAUUUGCUGACAGAGUGCUUUCAUUUCGUUUUUUUAAAUCAUUUCUCUGUUUUUCUGGUUUGUAGCGGUUAUAUGUCCCCAGAAUAUGCAAUGCAUGGGCGUUUCUCUGUCAAGUCCGAUGUCUAUAGCUUUGGUGUCUUAAUCCUUGAGAUUAUAACCGGAAAGAAGAACAGUUCCUUCUAUCAAACAGGGGGUGCUGUAGACCUUGUGAGCUAUGUGAGUGCAAUUUUUCUCUCUUGAAAACAAAUAGCAUAAGAUGUAGCAACUUUUGACCAUUCAAUUUUCUGUUUUCAGGUUUGGAAACAUUGGAGAGAUGGGACACCAUUGGAAGUGCUGGAUCCAACUCUGACAGAUACAUAUUCAAGAAAUGAAGUAAUUAGAUGCAUCCACAUUGGAUUGUUAUGUGUUCAAGAAGAUCCAGCUAUCAGACCCGCAAUGGCAACAAUUGUUCUCACACUCAAUAGUUACUCGGUUACCUUACCAUCCCCGCAAGAGCCUGCAUUUUUUUUCCACAGCACUAUAACAGAUGAAGUGAACAUUUCAUGCAAGGAAUUUCUUUUCGAAGAUUCUAAAAACAAGUCUGUUGUUUAUUCUGUAGAUGAAGAUUCAAUUACUGAAGUAUAUCCUCGAUAGGGAGCAUGUGUAUUUUCUCUAAAAUAAGCACUGGAAAAAAAAAACAUGAGGUUAAUUUUUUCAGUACCAAACACUUUAAAAUUGUGAUUUUCAUUGUUGACAGAUAAAACACACAAGUAUUUUGAAUGAAUCUCCAAAGCUUUAUUGAUUAGCUCACACUUAUUUAUACACACUUAUAAUUUUGAAUAUAUUGGCUCUUAUAUUUAUAAAGAAAUUAAUUCUUUAACUUUCUGGAUUCUAACUAACUAAUUAAAUAUUCUAAUUAACUAGUCUAACACAGAUCUUUUUUCUUUUUUCUUCUUUUUUCUCAAGGAUUCCUACCUCCACAAAUUUAUAAAAUGAAGUUUUACAAGGCCUUCCAACAAUGAAUUAAGGAAUUGGGCAGGUAUUAUCCAACAUGGAGAAAGCCACUCUAUGAACUUGCCAUCAGCGAUUGGCUUUGGGCCAAAUCUGAAGGACCUUCGGCGUGCUCUUUAUUUUAAAGAAAGAGAAACAAAUGACACAUCGGCUAUAAUGGUAGAUGAUGAGGUGCCUACUUAGCACUAACUCAGAGUCCAACCAUUAUUGUGAUGAUCAAAACUAUGAAGAGAUUUUUUUGGGUUGAAAAUUUAAUCUUCAACCAAUCUUUGUAAAUAAAAAAAAUUUAAUAAAUACUAUAAAAAACCUUUUUAAAUUAUUUAAUUAUCCCAAAACACAAUAAAAUAACCCAAAACAAAUAUUAAAAUCAACCAAAUAUACAAUCUCUAAAUUGAGGCCAAUUGAUUUUUAUAAACAAGAUAAAGGUUUAAAACUAGUACAAUCAAAUUUUCAUUGUCAAAUAGAAUCCGUUUAUAUUAUAAACAAUGAGUUCUUUUAUUGAGAAAUAACUCACCUAGUAAUGUUCUCUUUUCUAGCUAUUUUCCAUUGAGUUUCUGUUCAUCUCUUUAACACAAAGAGCGAAUAAUGAACGAGUUGAAUUUUAGGAUCAAAAUAAAAAUUAUAGUAAAUUUAAGAUUGGCCAUGUAUUUUCAUUUUUUUUUCAUUUUAAUUCUCUAUUUCUUAAUUUUGUAUUUUCAUGAUAAUUUAAAAUAUAAUUUCAUCUAAUUAAUUAUACUAUAAAAGGAUUCAUUGAAAGAAAAAAAACAUUGAAAAUGAAAAAAAGAAAAGGCAAGAGCUUUAAUUAUAUAAAUAAUGAAACCGACCUUUGUUGGUUUAAUUGUUUUUAUAAUUAUAUCCAAAGACUCUUUGAAAAUUAAUUAAAUAAAAGACUUUUAACUCUUUUUUUAUGUAAUAAAAAAUAGAAGAAGUCGGAGUUGGGUACUCCUUCCAUAUGUAACCCUUUGGUGUUUAUAGCAUAAGGUUCAUGCGAGAAGGGUAUAAAUAUUUUAAGAUAUGGCUAGGAAUUGUGGCAAGUGAUUAAAGUGCCGUUUAUUUUUUUUUGGUUUUGAUAUAUUAAUAUUAAAAAUAUAUUUUUUUAAAAAAUUAUUUUAUUAUAUUUUUAAAUAAAAAAUAUUUUAAAAAAUAACUGUUAUUAUAUAUAUAAAAAAGGUAACAUCACUAUAUAUUAUUAAAAAAUAAUUUUGUUAGCAUCUUAUUGGCUUCACGCUUAAAAAGCCUAAAACAAUGCACUAAUAUGGAUAAAAAUCAUAAAUAUUAUAUAAACAUAGUUGAUUUAAAUAAAUUUUAUAUAAACAUAGUUGAUUUAAAUAAAUUUUAUUAACUUUAUAACUAAAAUAGGAAUUUUAAUACAUAUUUUUUAUUUGUUUUUCAUAUAAAGUUAAUAAUUAAUAAUUUAAUUAAUUUUUCCUUUUUUUCAUAAAAGCUAAUUAUUAGUAAUUGUGCUCAUUCCAUAUCUAAUUAAGAAAAAGACUAAAACAACAAUAUAUAAUUUCUUAACACUAGUUAAUUUCGUUUUCUAUAUGCCAACUCAUGCAUUAUACAAAAUCAUAAAUAAUAUAAAAAAAAACCUCUUAAACCAUCCCUAACCUAUAUAAACUUUAUAUUGAUUAUCAAAACUGUAAAAAUACUUUAAAACAAGUCAUUGAAGGCCAAUAAUUCAAAUCUAAAAUUAUAUCAAAUCUUUAAGGAUUUAUGUUUUGAAGUUCUCCUUAUAUAUAUAAACUUGAUAAAAGUAUUAAAUAUAUAGGUGAAUAAUUCACGAGUGAAGCCCAUGGUAAGAACUCUAAUAAUUAAAUACAUGCAAGUUUUUGCUUUUAAUAGUUGAGUGAACUUAGUUGUUGUCUAGAAGACUAUCAUAUAUUAUUAUAUUGAUGAUAUUGCCAACUAAUUUUUCAAGCAGUUGAUUAUAAGUUCCUUUAAAUAAUAAUGAUGUAUUUGAAUUUUAUUUAGCACAAUGAAAUUACUUUUUUUUUUUUCUAAAAAAAGAGAAGAACUUAUCAGUCAAUAAAAACAGCUUAUAGAAAUUUCAAAGAAAUGGAGACGUCAAAUUAGCGCUCGUCAACAAAUCCAGAAUGGCUUUCUGUCCACUAUCAUUAUCGCAGUUGCUUUAGCUCUAAAAAUUGUCUGCCAUGAAAAUGUUCUAUAAGAACUUUCCACCAAGUCAACGUUUGUUCUCUCUAAAUGUGGCAUGACCUUUUUCAUUGACUUCAGCCUCCAGUCUUGCUCUACUCCUUGUCCACGUUACCUUUACUGAAAUAUUUCUUUCUUCCACCAUGAGGUCUGUUAGCUAGAGAAAUUGAUCGCCAAAAAGAUGAACUCUCGCAAAUACAUAUUUAAAAAAAGCUUUAAAAAAUGUGUACCUGAAUUUAUAACAAGUCUUUUGAAAAAAUUAACUUCUAUAUGUAAAUUGACCAAGAAAACUGUGUUUUUCUUCAAACACUUUUUUUGUUUAUUUUUUUUUACAUAAAUUUUGAUGAAAUAAAUAUACUGUAAUGGAUAUAGAGAAGAUUAAUUUUCUAAAAAGACUGUUUAAUUAACACAUCCAUCAAUAAUACAAUUAUUAAAAUAGAAAACUACUUCUCAUUAUUAUAUUUUCAGUUUCUAUAGUUUGUAAUUUUAAAAGAAGACUUCUUUAAAUAAAAAAAUUCUAAAAUUUUAUAAUUUUUAGCAAAUUAUUAAUUAAUAUUUCCUUACAAUAGAUUCUUAGUUAUAGUUUCAUGUUGUUGAUUGAUGAAAAGACUUGUACUUUUUUUUUCAAUGGAACAAUUAUUUAUGUGUCUUGCAAGAUUAAAGGCUAAAGUUUUCUUCUCUCUAUAUAUAUAUAUAUAUAAUUUUUGUUUUUACUUUCUGUCCACUAUCAUUAUCGCAGUUGCACUUUGUCUAAAACUUUAAAAUAAUUAAGUUAUUAUUUAGUUGCACAUUUGCUUUAGCUCUUUGUCUGCCAUUCAAAUGUUGUAUAAGAACUUUCCACCAAGUCAACGUUUGUUUUCUCUGAACUUGUUAUAGAAAUUUCUAAGAAACAAACACGGCAAGGGACUCCGUGGUCUCUGUCCCCACUAUCAUUGAAUUUUUUAUAAACAGCAAUAAAUGAGGGCACGACUUUUUUCAUUGACUUCAAUCUCCAGUUUUUCUAAGCUUCUCUCCAUUCCUUGUACACAUUACCUUUCAUUUCAUCUGAUAAAAAGAUACAACUUUCUUUCCUCCACCGUGAGGGCUGCUAGCCAGCUGAUCACCAAAAAGAUGAACUCUCUCAAAUUCUACGUUAUCCUGCUCUCGUUGCUUACCCUUGCUAUUAUCACUCUAGCACAGGAGGAUGCCAAUUACCUCUAUCAUAAUUGCCAAAACGCAACCACCUCCACAUUAAACAGCACCAACCGAGCCAGAAAAACAAUUGAUAGUGGAUGAUGAGAUCAAGGCUUAAAGAAAGAGCAAAGUAGCUUACACAGCAAGUUUAAAGUAACACCUCGUUCCACAAGCUUGAAAAAAAAUAAUAAAAAAAAUAAUAAACUAAUGAAAAUAAUUAUAGGGCCCAAGAUCAAAUCAAUUGCUCAAGCGGGAAUCACACUUUAUUUUAAUUAUGUCAAGCUUUUAUGCGAAUCACAAUCACAAGCUGCAUAAAAUAGCAAGAGAAGACCUUCAACUCUUGAACCCAAUCGAGGAAAUUGCAACCAUGUGCGAAAAGGCAUUUGAGAUUCUGAGUGAAUAAGUCUGGACAGUACUCGUGGCAUGGAGUGUGACUUUGAUUAUAUUUUCUCUUAAAUAAGAGGAGCAAAAAGUCACUGGCAAACACUUUGUAGGGGAGAUGUCACUUCGAGUUCUUGUCAGACGUGUUUGAGAGAUGCAAGCCAAAAACUGUUGAAAGAUUGCGAAAGUAAAGAAGCAAUCAUAUGGUAUGAACGAUGCCAAAUUCACUACUAGUUUCAGAAUAUAAUUUCAUUGGAUGUUUAUUCCGGGAAGUAUCCAGACUUGGAAUCUCAUAAUAAAUCCGUAUCAGAUCCUGUUCAUUUCUACGACAAUGUAAGGUUCCUCAUGGACAGCCUGUCAAAUGAGGUGGCGCUCAAUCGUUCAAAGCUCAUGUUUGAAACUGGGGAAAUCAAGUUUUCAAGGAACGAAACCAUAUAUGGCCAUGUACAGUGCACUAGAGAUAUCAGAGAAGAUGAGUGUCACAAAUGUUUGAGCUCUGCUUUGAUUGAUCUCAAGGGAUGUUGUUCUUCGAAGCAAGGUGGAAUUAUUGUUAGUAGGAAUUGCAAUGUAAGAUUUGAGCUGUACAAAUACUACAACACCUCAAGUCACUUGAUAACAUUCCCAACUCCUCAAGGUGAGUAAACAUAAUUUGUUUUUACUGAUGAACUGUCAGCAAACAGAAGUUAUGUUUUGAUUACACUUUAGCAAGAAAGGGCAGUACCAGUAACUCUUGGUGUUUCAAAUGCUGGCUUUACUCACAAGUACCCAAUUUGUUAAUGAUUGAUAUUGUUACUAUUAAUUCAUUCUUUGAAAGGUAAUGUAUUGUCCAGAAUCCUAGUCCAUUAUUAAAUGAUAUGCUACCAAAUUCUUGCUUUGCAAGGCAGGAGUAAUUGGAAGAUGGUGGCAAUUACAGUGUUUAUACCUACAAUGGUGCUUACAUUAAUAGUCAUUGGAUCUUCCAUUUUCUGUCUGAGGCGAAAAAGAAGAAGACAAAGAGGUAUCUGAACCAAGUGACCACGUCCACUUUAAUUAAAUAGGUUAAUUUACAUCCCAAUUCAAAAGUACAAAACUCUUAUUUUUUGGCAGACAUGGAAAGAAGUCACCUAACAUUAUUAAAGGAAUCAGCAAGUCCCAUAGGGUUCACAACGACAGCAGAAGGACAGUUGGUAAGUUCUGAGGACCUGCGUUUCAUGGACUUAAAUACUAUCAGAGCAGCCACAGACAACUUCUCCGACUCGAAUAAGCUUGGACAAGGUGGGUUUGGCACUGUUUAUAAGGUAAGUUGUAAAGGGGCUUCUCUGUCACAAUCCACUGAGAUUCAGCUGUCUUCGCAGUCCAUCCCUCUAAAAGGAAAACCCAGUUUUUUAUUCAGUUUGACAUGGUUAAGUAUUGCUUCGGUUCACAAAAUUUUCAUCACUGCAAAUUGUUUCAGGGUGUGUUAACAAAUGUGAAAGAAAUAGCUGUUAAAAGGCUUUCAAUAAAGUCAUGGCAAGGUUUAGAGGAGUUCAAGAAUGAAUUCAUACUAAUUGAAAAAUUACAACACCGAAACCUGGUGAGGCUGUUGGGAUGUAGUAUGGAAGGAGAGGAAAAGCUGCUCAUAUAUGAGUUCAUGCCUAACAAAAGCCUUGAUAUCUUUAUCUUUGGUCUGUUCCUUUCAUUUAUUUUGCAUUUGAAUUCUUAAAUUUUACAUUUUCAACAAUCAAUUGACGCAAGAGGCUGAAGUUUCUUCUUAUUCAAAUUUCAGAUGCCGGAAGACGAGCACAGCUUGGUUGGGAGACAUGUUACAACAUAAUUGGUGGCAUUGCUAGAGGACUUCUUUAUCUACAUGAGGAUUCCCGGCUUAGAAUCAUUCACCGGGAUUUGAAACCUAGCAAUGUUCUACUGGACCACGAGAUGGUUGCCAAGAUAUCAGACUUUGGCAUGGCUAGAAUUUUCGGCGAAAACCAGAACAAAGCAAACACCAGAAGAGUAGUAGGAACAUUGUAAAUCCUCCUUCUUCUCCUCUAUUCUUUUUUCUUGUAUUCUGACGAUUUUGAUCCGUAAUUUUAAUCUCCUGGGGUUUUCUUACACGUGAAGCAGCGGAUACAUGGCUCCAGAGUACGCAAUGGAAGGAAUAUUCUCAGUGAAAUCGGAUGUCUUCAGCUUUGGUGUUAUACUUCUUGAGAUCAUAAGUGGGAAAAGAAGCAGUGGUUUUUACCUCACAGAGCAUGGCCAGACACUCUUAGCAUAUGUGCGUACAAUAUUUUCCCUACCCUUGAACAUUUUCCCUUAAUCUUGGCAGGUCAUGUUAUGAAACCAAAUUCACAGGCAUGGAGAUUAUGGAUUGAAGGGAAAGCAAUGGAGUUUGUGGAUCCUUUGUUGGUGGAAAGAGGCCCAGCAGAAUGGAUUUUGAGGUGCAUGCAUAUUGGGCUGUUAUGUGUGCAGAAGGAUCCAGCAGACAGGCCCACAAUGUCAUUUGUGGAUUUAGCAUUGGCAAGCGACCCAAUAGCUCUUCCUCAACCACAGCAACCGGCCUUUUCUCUUGUUAAAAUUGUUCCAGCUGGCAAGUCUUCAUCAACAGAUCCUUCAGUGAAUCAGAUGACAGUCUCUAGUUUCUUACCGAGGUGAUUGUAAAUGAAAUUGCCACUAUGUUAAUGUGUCUGGCAACAAUGUGUCUCAUAUUCUUAACCACUUUGUUAAUGUGCCAUGCUUGUCCAUGAACAUAUUCAACUUGUGUCUAAUUUCAACAACAACAAUGAGAAAAUAGUGACAUUUAGUUACUUGAUUAGCACUUAAUCUCCUAAAAAUGAGCUAGUUUAGUAUAAAUAUGGGCUUAAAGCCUACUUUUCAUUGGAAGUUUUUUUUUAAAAAAAAUCAAAACAAGAGAAUAUUCAGGUUUUAUUAAUAUGUAUUUAGUUUUUUAAAAAAACAUAAUCAUAAAUUGAAAAGCCUAUAUAUACAUUUAAUUAAAUAAAUCAAGAAUCAUAUUUAUCAAUAAUUACAAAAAAAAAAAAGUAUUGAUGUAUUUAUUCGACUUUCUUCACUGCGAGUUAGAUAUUUUUUCUCUAAUACAAGAGAAUAAAUGUGUAGUUAUUGUUAAUGUGUUUUUUUAACCCAAAUAUAUUAAAUUAAUUAUUUAAUAUGCAUUAAUUUUUUUUUAAAAUACAUAUUAAAAAUAUAUCAAUUAAUUUUAUUUUUUUUACAAAUCUUCCAUUCUAUAGUACUGCUAUAGUAAAAAAAAAUUCAAUCAUAAUUUUAUUUUAGUUUUGUUUUAUAUCUUGUUUUUUUUAUGUCUAUUAUUUCUAUUUUUUUUAUCUCAAAAUAAUAACCAAACAUAAUGUUAAAAAUUAAUAAGGAAUGGUGGCAGGUGACUAAAGUCCCGUUUGAAGCAACGAAUGAUGGUUUUUUUCGUAUAAAACCUAAUCAUUUUAAUAACUAUUUUUAUGCCUUUUCGUUUAAAGCUAUUUUUUAGUAAUUUAAUUAACUUUGUUUGUAAGAAAUUGAUUUUUAGAAUUUGUAUUCAUCCUAUCUCUAAUUAUCAAGUUGACCUUAGAAUACAAACCUUAAUUAAGUCACGAUCAGAAAUAAAAUUUUCAAGGAUUCUCUAAUUUCCAAAACAGGUAUCUUAUCUUAAUUUGAUAACACUAAAAAUAAGUUAAUGAAAAAUCAACCUAAUGAUACCACAAAAGGGAAAAAAAAAUCAGGUAGCCAAAGACUGAAGUACUACAAGAUGUGAAUUAUUACAUAAUUACUACCUUUAUAAAUCCUAUUUAAGAAAUUCUAGUAAGACAUCAUCAAACAAGAAAAAAACUUUCCAACGUAGAAAAACGCACACAAAGAAGAACUAACGGUACAUGUUCAGCGCGAGGAAUGAUCAUUAUACAUACCUUAAUCCCACGGCAAAGCAACAUAAAUUCCAAAUUAGAAAUUUCAGCAUGACUGAUAAUAUAUUUAAAUUCAUUUUUUCCUAAUUGAAUAUAUAUAUAUAUAUAUAUAUAUAUAUAUAUAUAUAUAGAGAGAGAGAGAGAGAGAGAGAGAGAGAGCGCUUAUUAAUACAUAUUUGUUAUUAAAAAACAAAAAGUCAAAGAGAGGAGAAUUUCAUUCCUGUUUAGAUAAACGACGUGGAUGAUAAUUGUAUCUUGUAGAACAGAGAGCUAUUCUCGUCCGAAGAAUCUCUAUUAAAAUUAAUUAGGAAAGAUAUUUUUAGGUUUCUUUGAUGGUAAUAAAAAUGUAUAAGAUGAUGGCGUCUGGUAUCCCUUCCAUAGGUCCCUUUGGCGUUUAUACCCCUACGGUUCAUGUGAUAAGUGUACAAGUAUCUUACAUAAUAUUUGGUUAUUGAUGUGAGAUACAAGGGAUGAAGACAAUGAAGAUAUAAAUACAUUUGAUUUAAGAGAUAGAGAUAUAGAGAUAAAUUUAUUUUUGGAAUAUAUUUAAAAGUAUACUUUCAAAAUAAAAAAUACAAAGUGAAUAUGUUUUUAGAGACAAUAUUUAUUAUUUUUAUUUCUAAAAUAUCCAAUAAAAAACUCUCAAUUCCAAAAUAUUCAAGACAUGUAAAAAUAAAAAUUAUUAUUAUUAUAAUUUUAAAACCAAACUUGGAAGUCGAUCUAUAGCAAAUCCUAUAUCACUAGUCGAGGCAUAGGUCACAAGUUGGGUUAACCCGAUUCAACGUAAGUAUAAAAACGGUUAUGAUAAUAGUUUUAAAACGCUAUUUGGUAGUCAAUCCCGGGCAAGACUCGGUUCACAAGUGGGAUUGACCAUUGACCCAUGUUAACAUAAAAACAAAAAUGGUUAUUAUCAUAGUUUUUAAAUAAAACUAGGUUUAUUAUAAUAUUAUUAAUUUCAACAAUAUAAACUAAAGUAAAAAUAAAAUAAAAUAUAGAAUUAUUUUUUUAAUAUGUAAGUUUGAUAACAAUAUAUAUAAAAUAAUUUUUUUCAUAUUUUAUUUUGUCUUAUCUACCAUAAUCAAAUAUAAUACAGAGAUAAUUAUUUUGUUUUGUAUAUAACUACCAAUCAUAAUUUUAUUUUAGUCUUAUUUUAUGUCUUGUCUCCUCUAUAUCUAUUAUCUCUACUUUUUUAUUUUAUUUUUAUCUCGGAAUAAUAACCAAACAUUAUGUUAAAAAAUAAUAAGGAAUGGUGGCAGGUGACUAAAGUCCCGUUUGAAGCAAAGAAUGAUGGUUUUUUUUUUUUUGUAUAAAGCUAAUUAAAACCUAAUCAUUUUAAUAACUAUUUUUAUGCAUUUUCUCGUUUAAAGCUAAUUUUUAGUAAUUUAAUUAACUUUGUCUGUAAGAAAUUGAUUUUUAGUAUUUGUAUUCAUCCUAUCUCUAAUUAGGAAAGUUAUUAAAACAACAAUACAUAAUUUCUAAAUAUAGUACGUAUGGAAAUGACGACGUAUUUAUACUUUAUUUAAAAUAAUAAAAUUAGUAUUUUCUUUUAUUAAAAAAGAAAUAACUUAUAGAAAUUUCAAAGAAAGGGACACUAAAGUAGCACAAAGCAAUACGGCAAAGGACGCCGAAUGAUCUCUGCCCACUAUCCUGAAGGACGACCUUUAGCACUUCUGCAUGAUUCCAUAUUUCUUUCAAUAACUAAGACCCUUCAGCAUUUUUUUUCCUUACACAAACACGCAAUAAAAGUACUGGCAUGACUUUUCUCAUUGAACAGAGUCUCCAGUUUUGCUAAGCUACCUCCAUUCCUUGUUCACAUUACCUCUCAUCUGAUAAAAGGAUGGACUCUCUUUCUUCCACCAUGAGGGCUGCUAGCUAGCUAGAGAGCUUGAUCACCCAAAAGAUGAACUCUCUCAAAUUCUACGUUAUCCUGCUCUCGUUGCUUACCCUUGCUAUUAUCACUCUAGCACAGGAGCAUAACAACUACCUCUAUCAUAAUUGCCAAAACGCAAACACCUCCACAUUAAACACCACCUACUUAGUCAAUCUAAAUCUCCUCCUAUCUUCACUUGCCUCGAAUGCAACCCCGAAUAAUACCAUUGGAUUCUACAGCACCUCUUUCGGGCAGAGCACUCAUCAAGUGUACGGCCUGUUUAUCUGCCGUGGCGAUCUUAGCAGCACUACUGUUUGCCAAAGUUGUGUCACCUUCGCUACCAAAGAUAUAGUCCAGCGUUGCCCAAUCGGAAUAGCGUCCAUUGUGUAUUACGAUGCGUGCAUCCUACGUUACUCUAACGUGAACUUUUUCUCUAUGGUGGAUCGAAGCCCUGGUUUCAACUUGUCUAACACAAAGAAUAUCACUAACGAACCCCAGCGUUUUAACAAUCUAGUGGGAGCCACCUUGAAAGAUUUGGCUGAUCGAGCUGCAAGUGCUCCUCCAGGUGCUAAAAAGUUUGCUGUGAAUGAAACAUCUUUCGAUGCGUUCCAAUAUAUAUACAGCCUUGCCCAGUGCACACCGGAUUUAUCUAGCUUUGAUUGCAAGAACUGUCUCAGGGCAGUAAUUGCUAGAUUGCCCAUUUGCUGCAGCAGCAAGAGUGGAGGAAGAGUCUUGUUUCCUAGUUGUUAUAUUCAUUAUGAAAUUUAUAUAUUUUAUAUUGCAACGGCAGUCGCAGCGGAGUCACCUCCUCCUCCGCCCGUGGUUCUUCCUUCUCCUCCACCUCCUCGUUCAGUGACAAUACCAGAAGGUAAAGUUAGUUUGCACUAUUUAUUGUUUUUUGUCAAUAUCUUCAAUUGCCACUCUAGCAAAGUCGUUACUAUAGAAUGCACUCGUCGAAAUUUAAAUUUAUCUCUUAAAUUUUUUGGAUGAGAUUUAUUUAUUAAAUUAUGAAAUACAAAAUCCUUAAAUUAUUUUGGAAAAAAAAUCUAUCCUUUUGUAAAUUUUAAAAUUAUACAACAAUUUUUUUUUCCUAGUCGGUUGAUAUUCUUAAUUCAAAUGUGAUGGUUUUGGCCCGAUUCAUGUUUACCAUGUUUGGAUCAAGAAUUGCCUUCCUCCAUGAACAAUUUUUAAAAAACCCAUCUAAAAUAAGAAAAAAAACCUUGCAAGAACAAAUCCCACCACACUACAUAUUUUUUUCAAAGCUACAACCGAAUCGUCACGAAUGUAGGAAUCCCACCACACUACAUAUUUUUUUCUAGUAGAGAUUUGCGACACGAUUCAUCAAUUCAAUUUUUACUCAUCAAGAUUAAAUCAAUCUUUUUAAUAGGUAAAUUUUUUAUUGGUUUUGAAAAUGACCCGGUAAUUUUUAGCUUGUUGUCGGGUUUUUUGAUUAGUUCUCGAAAUUAAUAUCUUUUUUUGAUUCUAUUCUUGAAUAUUUGAUAUUAUUUUAAAAAUAAUUUAUAUGAUUAAUUUUUUUCAUAUUUCAUUUCCCUUUAUUUUUUAUCUUUCGGAUUGUGUUUUCAAUUUUUAUUUAUUUAUUUAAUUUAAAAUAACAUUUUUAAUUUAUUUUCUUUCUCUAGGAUCUUUUAUUGAUUUUAAAAAUAACUCAGGUUUUCUUAAAUUUUUUUAUUUAUUUUUUUGUGUUGGAUUUACUUUCGCCGAUCAAUAUUAAAUUAGUUAAAAAUUGAGUUUCUUGAUUCGGCUUAAAUUUAGAAUUUAAUAGGUUGUGAAUUUGAGAUAUUUACCUGGUUUUAAAAGGUUCAUUUAAUUUUGUUUUGCCUUUUUAAGCUGAUGACUUUUUAAUUUUGUUAUUUAAUAUUUAUAUAAUUAAUUAUUAGACUUUUGUUUUUUUAUUUUUGAGCCUUCUAUAUUAUUAUGUUUUCCAUAUGUUAACCUUUUUACUUUGCUAGGUCUAUGGCUAGUGUCAUGUUUUUUUUUUAAAAAAAAAUAAAUCAUGUUUGCCUCAUAAAAUUACAAAUGUUUUUUAAUUUCAUUCCUUUUAUUUUUUUUAUCUUUUAAAUUUGGUCCCUAUUAUUUUGAUUGCUAUUUGUUUUGUUUGUGAUUAUUUUUUUUAUUACUAUCUUUUUUCUUUUUCAAGUUUUUUAAAUUAAUAUUUUUUUCAUGAUUUUAUUUUUUAAAAUUAAAUUGGUUGAGAAUUAAGUUUCUUGUUUCAACUGGAAUCUAGGAAUUCAUCGGUUGUGAAUUUUAGAGACUGGACCAGGUUUAGAAGGUGUGCUCGGAUUUUCUUAGUUUUUCCCUUUCUUUUUCUUGAAGAUAAUGUUUUUUUAUUAUUAUUUCUUAACCUUUUUUUAGUUUUGCAUUAUUAUUUUUUACAGUUUGCCUUCUAUGAGAUUAGUCUCAUGUUUAUGACUAAGGUCACCAGUUUCAGAGCUUAAUAGGAGUUGACUUGUUUAUGUUUUUUUUUUAAAAUUGAUUUAUUUUUAUUUCAUCUUUCAAUAUUUAAUUUAUUAAAAAGUGGUCUUCACACCUUCUCUUUUCCUUUCCUUAUAUUGGUUUAUCUCUAUUAUAUGCUUAUGGUUAUAGGUUUGCAGGUGAACUCAGGUCAACUCAUAUUUUUUCUUGUUGCCUUUUUAAAUUAUAUAUAUAUUUUUAUAUCCUUCAACGUUGAAUUGUUUGAUAAUUCAGUUUCAUGAUUAUAUUUAAUUUUCUUUUAAAUGUGGUCAUUCUAGUAUCAUAACUAGGUCAUAUAUUUUGCAUCUUAACCCUAAUGGGUACAAAUCAAGUUUUUCAUCCUUUUUUAAUUAUCUUUCUUCUUAAUUUUUAUCUUUCAAUAUUUUAUUUGUUGGAGAUUUAACUUCAACUUUUUUCUUAUAUUUUUUAUUAUUUAAAGUUACCGUGUUCUCAUUUGAUUUAUCAGAAAUUGAACUUUGAGUAUUUUUUUCUUGCAUUUUUUUUCUCUAUAAGAUUAUCUUAAUAUUAUGUCAAUGGUCGUGAAGUUUGCAAGUUAGCCUUUUUUAACUUAGGUGUUUUUUUUUAAUUAUGUUUUGUUUCGCCUUUCAAUAUUAGAGUUGUUUAAUAAUCUAGGUAAGCUCAAGUUAGGUUCUUUUUACCUUUUUUAUUUUAUUUUUUUAUCAAUUUAUUUAGUGUUAUUGUAUUUUAUUAAUCAUAUUAUUUGAAUUACUAAUUGAACCAAUGACUCGAUUCUCAAAUAUAUUUUUUCUUAUCAUUUUUUUCUAUGUUGAAAAUAAAUUUAGCGUAUGCAAGCCACAAAUCUAGUUUGAAUUAUAAAGAGGGAACAUAAAUCUGAACAUAUCUUCAAUCCCAAUUUUUUUUUUUUAUAUAUUCUUUAACCUUUUACUAAAUAUUUCAAGUAAGUUUAUUGAGUAAGUUUUUGGAGUAUGUCCAUGUGGGCCAUCUGGACUAUGAAAUUUCAUUAUAAUAGUAAAUGCAAUGGUUUUGAUAACCAUCACUAUUGCACGGAUGUUAUGAAAAGAGGCAUUGGUGCAUUCUGAUAUAGUAAUUUAAUAAAAUUUGAGAAAGUUUAACCAAAUUGCGAAUGACAUAUUUUGAUAGCAUUUGGUCAUUCCAUGAGAAAGCAAUAUUGAACUUAUAAGUUAUAACCCUGUUUCUAAUUAUAAUGGAUCCAAAAUCAAAAAGAUAUUCAUGGUGGAUUGUCAACAUGUUACAAAAGGUUAAUUACUGGCUUCAAAGCCACUUUUGGCUUUAAAUCAUGGAAGCAAAGUUAUACAACUCGGCCAGUUAUAUGAUAUGAUUCAGCUCAAGAUAUGAAUUAUGAGUUAGGUUAGUUUGUACAGGUAAAUUUAAUCUAGUAUCAUUUUAAAAUUUAUUUAAAAAAACAUUUAAAAUGAUUUUUCUUUUUAAAAGAAAAACUCAUAAAGGAUCUUAUUCAUAUUUUGACUAGGUCAAUCAAGUUAUAAAGUCAGAAUAAUCAAGCUUGACAUGAAUAACUCUCAACACGGUUUAAUAAAAAACCUUGUUUAGGCUAGUUACUGGUCGGCAGUUUGAUUGACCAAACCAAGCCAGGUUUAUAGCAUUUUUACUAAAAAAACCCAAAAAAAAAAAAGGAAAAAAAAAUAGCUCCCAUGACAUUCAAUAUGCUUGUACGUUAAAGUUAAAAGCAUUACGAAUUACAAUGCGUUUUUGAAUGUUACAUGUUUCUUUUUGCAGAAAAAGGCGGUGUCUCAACAGUUUUAAUUAUAGCCAUUGUCAUUCCCAUUGUUGUUUCUAUCGCGCUUUUGAGCAUGUGUCUCUGUUUCCGGAGGAGGGCAAGAAAGACCAGAGAUUAUGUGCCAGAAAAUGAUGGUAAAGAACAUUAGAAAUCUUUUUUAAUUGGGAAACAAAAAAAUAAAAGCAGAGUCUUUUCUGUUUUGUACUCUGCCUAAUAAUAUUUUCAAAAGCUCAAAGGAAUAUCUACUUGUGUUGUGUAGUUGGAGAUGAGAUUACCACCGAGGAGUCCUUGCAAUUUGAUUUGAGUACUAUAGAAGCUGCCACGAACAAUUUCUCCGCUGACAACAAGUUAGGUGAAGGAGGAUUUGGUGAGGUUUACAAGGUAAGAAAUUCGUGAUGCGUUUAAAUUUUCAAGAACAGGAAAUACCUUGUUGCAUUCGUAUUUGAAAAUCCCUUGCUCAAGCAUCGGUGAAAGUGCUUUCUCAGGGAACACUUCCUAAUGGACAGCAAAUUGCUGUGAAGAGGCUAUCAAGAAAUUCUGGACAAGGUGCUGCAGAAUUUAAGAAUGAGGUUGUAUUGGUAGCCAAGCUUCAACACAGGAAUCUAGUGAGGUUGCAAGGGUUUUGCUUGGAAAGAGAAGAAAAGAUUCUUGUCUAUGAAUUUGUCAGCAACAAAAGCCUUGACUACUUUCUAUUUGGUAUAUAUUGAUGAUUUCCUAAAUGUUCUUCUCAUUGCCUUUUAGGACGAGACAUGCAUAUUUGCCUCUUUUUUUAACCUAUGGAUCUGCAAUCUUACUCGAAGGUUCUUUUUUCUUGAUUUUGUAGACCCUCAAAGGCGAGGACUGUUGGACUGGUCCAGACGGUACAAAAUAAUAGGAGGCAUUGCUCGAGGAAUUCUUUAUCUUCACGAGGACUCUCGGCUACGAAUUAUACAUCGUGACCUCAAAGCUAGCAAUAUUCUGCUAGAUGGAGAUAUGAACCCCAAAAUCUCAGAUUUUGGCUUGGCUAGGAUUUUUGUAGUCGAUCAAACUCAAGCAAGUACCA
Molecule: long non-coding RNA, 16172 nt
Filed under: Populus tremula
Lineage: Eukaryota; Viridiplantae; Streptophyta; Magnoliopsida; Malpighiales; Salicaceae
Description: long non-coding RNA (PTRE_LNC002108)
Source: RNAcentral